ACUCAUUUAUCAUUCCUGUGAUUAUGACGAUUAGUCCUAGCGUUACCCUUCUCCUUCAUAUAAAUAUGUGGACACAGAACCCUAUUUUUCCUCACUACUUCCAUCCGACAUUGGAAACCUCAUUAUUCAUUGGAGAUGCUCUUUCCAUAUCUUUCUCCCCUUCCGCUUCCUCCUUACUGCAUGGUGAAAUGUUUGGCAAAGAGAGGCGGUGACAGGGGAGCAACGCCAAAUCAACCCAAUGUUCUUGCGAAGGUUGAAACAUUUCCCAAUAAAUUGCUAAUUGCAAGGAACAAGCUGCUGCAAUAGACGUCUCUUCCUUUGCUCCUGCUGAGGAGUACCCGCCGAUUGUAUGUGCCUGUGAUUCUAUUAAUUAAGGGAUUAGGCUCGAUCUGCUCUGACUACAUGAUUCUAAGACAUUACUCCAGGUGCCAUCUAAGGAUUUAUGGCAACAACAAACUGUGACUUGGGCCCAACUGAGCUGGUGUAGAGGUGAUAGUCUAGCUUUGGUCUUGAGGGAGUUGGCUGGCAGGUUGAUUGAUGGCAUGUGCCACAACUCUGGAGGCAGAGGACCCCAAUCGUCUAUGUGGCUGUUUUCCCUCCGGCAUAGUGUUGAGCAGCGACUUCUUUUUUUCUGAGGGAGGGCGCCAGCCUCUUCUUCUUUCAUAGAGGCAUGACCACAAGAUCAAAAUAACUGCAGAACCACAACAAGACUCAUUUGCUUGUUUGUUGAUGAUAUGCUUCGGAUUAAUCUUUCAUUGAGGUUAUCGGUUGGUCCUUAUAUUUCGAGUUGUCGAGACACAAUGAUGUUACUACGAAUAUUUGCACAUUUUGUGUUAGUAGUUGAAAUUGAACACAUUAGACACUAAAGGUACACGGAUGUUGUUUGAAAAGUCAAAAGGCUACUAUCUGUUUGUAUUGUUGCUCGUCCUAUGUAUUCGAUGGUCGUCUAAUUGGCAUCUGUAUUUAGGCUUGG
This is a long non-coding RNA of Lolium rigidum, 973 nucleotides long. RefSeq lists it as uncharacterized. NCBI's taxonomy places the organism in Eukaryota, Viridiplantae, Streptophyta, Magnoliopsida, Poales, Poaceae. The record is from RefSeq and is a predicted model, not a curated record. The transcript has 4 exons.